This 495-nucleotide ribosomal RNA is filed under the name uncultured Treponema sp. RNAcentral describes it as "partial 23S ribosomal RNA". Lineage: Bacteria; Pseudomonadati; Spirochaetota; Spirochaetia; Treponematales; Treponemataceae. The record is from RNAcentral.
UAGGUUUCCUGGGUUAAGGUAAUCUUCCCAGGGUAAGUCGGCACCUAARACGAGGACGAAGGUCGUAGUCGAUGGACAAUCGGUUUAGAUUCCGAUACCUUAUAUGAGAUCGAAGGCAAGACGCAUGAGGUGAAACCCAACCGGAGAAUGGUAGUUCCGGUCGAAGUAUUCAAGCCGUUAAGGACUGAUAGGCAAAUCCGUCAGUCUAGGUGAGAUAUGACAGGUAGUGAAGCUUAAGGCUGAGCGAAGUGGGUGUAAUCAAGGUGCCAGGAAAUACUGUCUAAGAAUAUGUCAUAUAAGACCGUACCGCAAACCGACACAGGCAGGUAGGAUGAGAAAUCUAAGGCGCUCGAGAGAACUCGCGUUAAGGAAUUCGGCAAAAUGCACACGUAACUUCGGGAGAAGUGUGGCCUCGUUUUAUUAAGAAAAGAGGCGUCACAAAGCAGGUCCAGGCGACUGUUUAUCAAAAACACAGCCAUCUGCAAAUCAGCAAUG